GCUCUGUGCAAGGAAAAAAAAUCCAUCAACAGUCUGAAACCGUCAGAUCUAGAGCACAGAUAGAUGACGGAAAUGUUCACAUGAAACUUUUUCUUGUAAAAUCGGUGUUUGUAUGUACAUAGCCUAAAAUUAAGGACAAUUAAACUCAAUGUUUUUAUAUUUUGACUUAAAGUAAAUAAUCCGAGGUUACUGUAGGCCAGAAUACACUAUUCAUCCCUUAAACACUGAAAACUUAAAUAUGUUUUAUUAAUAUAUAAGCUGUAAUUUAAAUAAAUAGAUACAUUUGAUUAACUGAAGCCUGUAUCACACAAACAUUUCAGAAAAUGUUACCCCCCUCCCCUCUAUCGUGAUUGUAUAAUUCACACCCUGCUAAACCAUCUCAAUGUUGUAAUACGCAGGUCAUUCCUAUGUCAUACCAAUUUCUGUACUUGUAAGUCACCAAAACCAGUAUACACACACACACACACACACACAUUUUCGGUCAGAGUUCACCUGUUCUGUCGAGUGACGUAUAUUGCAGAAAAAUGGCCCAAUCGUGUUGCAGGAGACGAGUUGAGCAACAGUUGCAGGACAGUACUGAACACUUGAGCUCACAGACCUGCUGCGCUUGCAGGAGCUGUUCUGAGUACAAAAGCAUCCACGUGGGAUAAAGGACGGCAUCUUAACUUCAUCUUUGGUGAAACGGAGUUGCCAUUUAAUGUAAAUCCGACUCAUUCAAAGUAACGUCGCUGCGCAGAAAAAAAAGAAUGACUGCCUCUAUUUUUAGGAUGGAUGGUAUCAGCUGCUGGAGAGGAACACACUGCUUCACCUCCUCCCCCUCGGCACUUCUCAUUUAAAGGCGCUGAUGGAACAUUCAGGAAAAUCAGUGUAUUUUCUACCCUCACCCGGAGCCUCGGACCAGAAUGUUCACUUUCACACCUGAGUAGGAGGGGUAAAAAACUGAUCGAAAUACAACUAAAUGUUUACUUGAGUGUUAAAAAGUAAUAUAAAAAAAUAAAUAAAUAAAUAAAUAA
Molecule: non-coding RNA, 1013 nt
Organism: Danio rerio (zebrafish)
Lineage: Eukaryota; Metazoa; Chordata; Actinopteri; Cypriniformes; Danionidae
Source: RefSeq, a predicted model, not a curated record